This is a long non-coding RNA of Anguilla rostrata (American eel), 645 nucleotides long. RefSeq lists it as uncharacterized. The transcript has 2 exons. The record is from RefSeq and is a predicted model, not a curated record. Lineage: Eukaryota; Metazoa; Chordata; Actinopteri; Anguilliformes; Anguillidae.
UGAUAAAGCUGUAACUGGCUCCCAGCCACUGGAGAGUGGCUUUAGACACUGUACAGACGGGCUGCCAGACACACAGGACCUUGCUUUUUAUGCUUAAAACGCCCAACGCUCUGUGUGGAGCUCAGGAGCGCACGUUCUCUCGUGGAGCCCCAGGUAAGCUCUGUCCAGCCCCUGGACAGACUUUGACAGGUUUCAUCUGGAUUCCUGCAGAAUAAAUAAGCCUCUCUGUGGCCUGAUACGGAAACCUGGACUGCAUCAGUGGGGAAUGCAGGGUUAUGAACUACACCGCCCAGAGGGGGGCGCCCUUUAGCUCAGAUUACAAUAUUCAAAUGCACACCGGCAACCCCUGGCUGGUCAGUCGUGAUGUUUUUGCUGCUCCUCUGUAGAAGCGCCUUCCUCUGCCUCAUGUCUGUGUGAGCUCGCCGUGUCAGCUGUGACAUCAGAGGAAGUGAUGGUGACAUCAUGCAUUUUUGAGGAGACCCCAUGUCUUUCUGCUCUCUCCCAGAACGGCAACAGCGAGCCGUGUGAGCAUACAUAUUGUUUUUCUUCAUUUUUCUUUCUCCAAAUUGAGAGAAAAAGAAGGGAAAUUAAUGGAAAAUAUGUAUUUCUAGACUGCCAUCUGUACUGUAAGAUACUAGCUCCUGA